Molecule: small RNA, 1153 nt
Filed under: Drosophila yakuba
Lineage: Eukaryota; Metazoa; Arthropoda; Insecta; Diptera; Drosophilidae
Description: GE27336
Source: RNAcentral
CAGCUGCCAAAAAGGCCCAUACAAAUUUUCACUUUUCCCACAAUUCAGUUUCAAAUUUUUUCUCGCUCAACAUAAAAAAAUCAAAAAAUUACCCAAAAUCAAAAAUAUACACUCACACGAUCCACAACAAGACAAGAUACCGGAAAAAACAACAAGCAACACACCCAUAUAUGAACACAAAAGCCCCAGGACUCUCGAUCCUCUCAGGAAAUCUCCGCCCAGCUCAACUUUCAAAACUUUCAAAGCCAAAGCCUGACGAUCUUGAAAAACAUCUCUUAGCCAGCGAAGUCCAUCGAUGACGGUUGAUCCGCAACCAGAUAACUAGAUAACCAGAUAACAAAUUGGUAACCUGAACUAAGACUCAAUAGCAAGGAACAGAGAUCUCUGCAGCAUCAAUCAAGCAACUCAAUCUUAAGCACUUUCCACAGACAUUCUAUCAAUCAAUCGAUGUUAAGCAGUGCAAUUGCGUGCCAUUGAAUCCAUAACUCUUUUUUUUGGCCCAAUUGACACCAAAAACAAACAAAAACAAAAUACCACUAAUGUAACAAUUUUUUUGAAGCCCACAAAAAGGACGAGUAAAGCAAAAAAAUUAAAACGCAACGCACAACCAAGUUUCGAGAACAAAAAAAAACACCAAAAGUUUAAAUUCAAAUCGUAAAAGACAGUUGCAAAGGCCCGUGAAAAAAAUCCAAAAUAAGAAAUGCAAACGCGACUUUAAAACCAAAACCACUGACAAACGCUUUUUUUUCACACCGGUUCAGCAAAGGUCAGCGAAAGUUUCGACUCGGCAAAAAGAAAAGAAAAUUACCAAAAAUAUUAAAAAAGAAAACAACAACAACAAAAAAACCCUAAAUACAAAUUGUAAAUUCCGUCAAGGAUAUGAGUAAAUCAAGUAAUUGAGCGCGCUAAAUUCAAAAAGUCAUCAUUCCACACGUAACAUCCGAAACGAAGCAGAGUUAAAAGCAGGAGUUAAACGAAGACAAGCUUAAAAAUACAAAACAUAUAUAUUGAAAUAUUUCAAAAGCGAUCCGGAUCCGAUUCGCGACCAAAUCAAAUUGUAAAGUGUUCGACCAGCGAUUUUUUGCACAACUUCGGUUUCAGUCAGGCAUAUAGAGAUAGAGAUAUAGAUAUAGAUAUAGAUAUAUAUAUAUUU